AUUUUUGGCUUGUCCUCAAGAUAUCCAUCAUCUUUCCGUAUUUUUUCUCCUACAUAACAUAUCUUGGUGAAUGACAGCAAAAUUACAUUUAAUAGUUAACAAGGCAGACAUUGUUGAGAGCAAUAAAUCUGGAAACAGAAAUUGAGAAUCUUGAAAUAUUCAGUGAAGAGAAGGAGCAAUUCUGGAAAUAUUUUGAAGUGAGAAUUAGCUGUGCUUGGUCAACAACUGAAAGUGAGAAGCGUUGUGAAAGAGCAAAGCCUGGAGCUGGCUAGAAGAAAUUUUCCUUCCUAGGCUUGCAUAUCCUUAUAGGAAGGCAGAAAUCUGGCAACGGCAAAGACAGUGAACCCUAGUGCUUUGAUGUGUGACACUAUGAACAGUAACCGCUACUUCACAUUGGCCAAAUCAAAGUGCAUCCAGUGUUUUGUGUGUGUGAAGUCCUAAGACUGAAGACAAGCUAAAGUCCACAGCAGGAAAGGAAACUUUUGAAGUUCAUUAAUUAGCUUGUUUAAACUGUUAUUGCCAGAACUAAUUAUUUGUUUAAAUGAGAGGAACGGCCUUGGGUUUUAGUGCCUGUAAGUAAAUAAAAAGUUUUUGCAUUUCA
Molecule: long non-coding RNA, 601 nt
Filed under: Vulpes vulpes (red fox)
Lineage: Eukaryota; Metazoa; Chordata; Mammalia; Carnivora; Canidae
Description: lncRNA (ENSVVUG00000021769.1)
Source: RNAcentral